UCUAGGGAGACAUACACGAAAGCAAGACUUUCGAUGUCACUUAGGUCGACACUUUGGCGCUUAAACUAAGGGUUAAGAAACUUUACAUUGGUUGGUUUUGAAAA
RNAcentral lists this unclassified non-coding RNA (104 nucleotides) under Clostridium septicum. RNAcentral describes it as "partial 16S-23S ribosomal RNA intergenic spacer". The record is from RNAcentral. Lineage: Bacteria; Bacillati; Bacillota; Clostridia; Eubacteriales; Clostridiaceae.